This 158-nucleotide ribosomal RNA is filed under the name Fusarium sp. RNAcentral's name for it is "5.8S ribosomal RNA". It matches the Rfam family "5.8S ribosomal RNA". From Rfam's summary of the family: 5.8S ribosomal RNA (5.8S rRNA) is a component of the large subunit of the eukaryotic ribosome. It is transcribed by RNA polymerase I as part of the 45S precursor that also contains 18S and 28S rRNA. The record is from RNAcentral. Lineage: Eukaryota; Fungi; Ascomycota; Sordariomycetes; Hypocreales; Nectriaceae.
AAACUUUCAACAACGGAUCUCUUGGUUCUGGCAUCGAUGAAGAACGCAGCAAAAUGCGAUAAGUAAUGUGAAUUGCAGAAUUCAGUGAAUCAUCGAAUCUUUGAACGCACAUUGCGCCCGCCAGUAUUCUGGCGGGCAUGCCAGUUCGAGCGUCAUUU